This 549-nucleotide ribosomal RNA is filed under the name Babesia canis. RNAcentral's name for it is "SSU rRNA". It matches the Rfam family "Eukaryotic small subunit ribosomal RNA", at positions 519 to 1119 of the family's 1831-position model. Lineage: Eukaryota; Apicomplexa; Aconoidasida; Piroplasmida; Babesiidae. The record is from RNAcentral.
GGUGACCCAAACCCUCACCAGAGUAGCAGUUGGAGGGCAAGUCUGGUGCCAGCAGCCGCGGUAAUUCCAGCUCCAAUAGCGUAUAUUAAACUUGUUGCAGUUAAAAAGCUCGUAGUUGAAUUUUAGCGUGUUCGAGUUUGCCAUUCGUUUGGCUUUUUCGAGUUCGCUUUUGGGUUUUCCCUUUUUACUUUGAGAAAAUUAGAGUGUUUCAAGCAGACUUUUGUCUUGAAUACUUCAGCAUGGAAUAAUAGAGUAGGACUUUGGUUCUAUUUUGUUGGUUAUUGAACCUUAGUAAUGGUUAAUAGGAACGGUUGGGGGCAUUCGUAUUUAACUGUCAGAGGUGAAAUUCUUAGAUUUGUUAAAGACGAACUACUGCGAAAGCAUUUGCCAAGGACGUUUCCAUUAAUCAAGAACGAAAGUUAGGGGAUCGAAGACGAUCAGAUACCGUCGUAGUCCUAACCAUAAACCAUGCCGACUAGUGAUUGGAGGUCGUCGUUUUGCUGACCCCUUCAGGAACUUGAGAGAAAUCAAAGUCUUUGGGUUCUGGGG